AGAGUUUGAUCCUGGCUCAGGAUGAACGCUGGCGGUAUGCUUAACACAUGCAAGUCGAACGGAAUCCUUAGGGAUUUAGUGGCGGACGGGUGAGUAACGCGUGAGAAUCUGCCUUCAGGUUCGGGACAACCACUGGAAACGGUGGCUAAUACCGAAUGUGCAGCAAUGUGAAAAAUUUAUUGCCUGGAGAUGAGCUCGCGUCUGAUUAGCUAGUAGGUGUGGUAAGAGCGCACCUAGGCGACGAUCAGUAGCUGGUCUGAGAGGAUGAUCAGCCACACUGGGACUGAGACACGGCCCAGACUCCUACGGGAGGCAGCAGUGGGGAAUUUUCCGCAAUGGGCGAAAGCCUGACGGAGCAAUACCGCGUGAGGGAGGAAGGCUCUUGGGUUGUAAACCUCUUUUCCCAGGGAAGAAUAAAUGACGGUACCUGAGGAAUAAGCAUCGGCUAACUCCGUGCCAGCAGCCGCGGUAAUACGGAGGAUGCAAGCGUUAUCCGGAAUGAUUGGGCGUAAAGCGUCCGCAGGUGGCUAUGUAAGUCUGCUGUUAAAGAGUCUGGCUCAACCAGAUAAAGGCAGUGGAAACUACAUGGCUAGAGUGCGUUCGGGGCAGAGGGAAUUCCUGGUGUAGCGGUGAAAUGCGUAGAGAUCAGGAAGAACACCGGUGGCGAAAGCGCUCUGCUAGGCCGCAACUGACACUGAGGGACGAAAGCUAGGGGAGCGAAUGGGAUUAGAUACCCCAGUAGUCCUAGCCGUAAACGAUGGAUACUAGGCGUGGCUUGUAUCGACCCGAGCCGUGCCGUAGCUAACGCGUUAAGUAUCCCGCCUGGGGAGUACGCAGGCAACUGUGAAACUCAAAGGAAUUGACGGGGGCCCGCACAAGCGGUGGAGUAUGUGGUUUAAUUCGAUGCAACGCGAAGAACCUUACCAGGACUUGACAUGUCGCGAAUCUUUGUGAAAGCAGAGAGUGCCUUCGGGAGCGCGAACACAGGUGGUGCAUGGCUGUCGUCAGCUCGUGUCGUGAGAUGUUGGGUUAAGUCCCGCAACGAGCGCAACCCUCGUUUUUAGUUGCCAGCAUUAAGUUGGGCACUCUAGAGAGACUGCCGGUGACAAACCGGAGGGAGGUGGGGAUGACGUCAAGUCAGCAUGCCCCUUACGUUCUGGGCUACACACGUACUACAAUGCUACGGACAAAGGGCAGCAAGCAUGCGAAUGCAAGCUAAUCUCAUAAACCGUGGCUCAGUUCAGAUCGCAGGCUGCAACUCGCCUGCGUGAAGGAGGAAUCGCUAGUAAUUGCAGGUCAGCAUACUGCAGUGAAUUCGUUCCCGGGCCUUGUACACACCGCCCGUCACACCAUGGAAGCUGGUAGUGCCCGAAGCCAUUACCCCAACCGCUUGCGGAGGGGGAUGCCUAAGGCAGGACUGGUGACUGGGGUGAAGUCGUAACAAGGUAGCCGUACCGGAAGGUGUGGCUGGAUCACCUCCU
This 1481-nucleotide ribosomal RNA is filed under the name Tolypothrix distorta CAU14. RNAcentral describes it as "bacterial SSU rRNA". It matches the Rfam family "Bacterial small subunit ribosomal RNA". The record is from RNAcentral. Lineage: Bacteria; Bacillati; Cyanobacteriota; Cyanophyceae; Nostocales; Tolypothrichaceae.